UACGUAGGGUGCGAGCGUUAAUCGGAAUUACUGGGCGUAAAGCGUGCGCAGGCGGUUAUGCAAGUCAGAUGUGAAAUCCCCGGGCUUAACCUGGGAACUGCAUUUGUGACUGCAAGGCUGGAGUGCGGCAGAGGGGGAUGGAAUUCCGCGUGUAGCAGUGAAAUGCGUAGAUAUGCGGAGGAACACCGAUGGCGAAGGCAAUCCCCUGGGCCUGCACUGACGCUCAUGCACGAAAGCGUGGGGAGCAAACAGG
This 253-nucleotide ribosomal RNA is filed under the name uncultured bacterium. RNAcentral describes it as "partial 16S ribosomal RNA". It matches the Rfam family "Bacterial small subunit ribosomal RNA", at positions 524 to 776 of the family's 1533-position model. The record is from RNAcentral.